GACGAACGCUGGCGGCGUGCUUAACACAUGCAAGUCGAACGGUAAGGCCCUUCGGGGUACACGAGUGGCGAACGGGUGAGUAACACGUUGGUGAUCUGCCCUGCACUUUGGGAUAAGCCUGGGAAACUGGGUCUAAUACCGGAUAGGACCAUGCGCCUCACGGUGUGUGGUGGAAAGCUUUUGCGGUGUGGGAUGGGCCGGCGGCCUAUCAGCUUGUUGGUGGGGUAAGGGCCUACCAAGGCGACGACGGGGAGCCGGCCUGGGAGGGUGACCGGCCACACUGGGACUGAGAUACGGCCCAGACUCCUACGGGAGGCAGCAGUGGGGAAUAUUGCACAAUGGGCGCAAGCCUGAUGCAGCGACGCCGCGUGAGGGAUGACGGCCUUCGGGUUGUAAACCUCUUUCAGUAGGGACGAAGCGCAAGUGACGGUACCUACAGAAGAAGGACCGGCCAACUACGUGCCAGCCGCCGCCGUAA
Molecule: ribosomal RNA, 478 nt
Filed under: uncultured bacterium
Lineage: Bacteria
Description: partial 16S ribosomal RNA
Rfam family: Bacterial small subunit ribosomal RNA
Source: RNAcentral